GGGAGUUUUGCAUGGGAACAGGAAUUUAGUCUGUGGGGUCAGACCUCAUUCCCCACAUCCCAGAGCUCUGCCUCUCACAGGCUAUGUGGCCCUGGGCCGUUGACCUCUAUCAGCCUCAGUUUGCAAAUAUAUGAAAUGGGACUCCUAAUGCCUGCCCAGUAGGGUGGUCACAGGGAGGAAAUGAGGUCAUCAGUUGUGGUCACUAACGAUUCCAUCUCUUGUUCUUCUUCCCUUGUUAUUCUAAAGCUCGGAUUGUAAUGUCCUGCUUGUGACAGCACCAGGACUUACAUCGUCUGUUGUGGUAAGAACAGCGUGUCCCUCUGUCGAGCAUUUUCUGCAUAUGAUAAUGAACUUGGGUGUGGGGCGGCUCAGCGAUCCCGACCCCCCCCCCCGGAAGCCAGUGUUCCAGGGGAAGGUGAGCCCGCAGUGCGGAGGACAGCUCUCGCUUGUGGCCGUGGCCGUAGCCGCCCUGAGCUGGCUUUGCAGGAAGAGUGGGGCGUGGCGGGCCGAGAGAGUUUCCUGUAGUGGGAGGUUUGGCCUGAACGUCGGGCCCCUGUGUUGUUACCUCUCCCAGCUCAAGGGAGGCUGCUGGGAGGGCUUCAGCGGGGCCGAGCAGGGGAAGGCUGGUGAGGACCAGCCGGGCUGCAGAAGCUUGCCGCAGAUUACCCAGGGAAGCAAAGCCUCCUGGCCUGUGGAAGUUCUUCCUCUGGGCUACUCGAAUUUCUUCUGCUGGAAUCUUAGUUUGUUUUCUCUUCUGCAGUCUUUGGGGGAAGGAUAGAAAUGUUAAUGACUCUCCUCCAUUACCCAGCAUUGAUUUGCAGGAGGGGAGCUCUGCCAUCCCCUGGUCUGCCUUUCCCUCCGUGCAUCCCUCUGGAUAUUCUAACAAGGGCUUAACCAGAGAUGAGUAAGUGUCAAGGCAGCCUUAGCUCACAGUGCUUCUCCCAAAUUCCUCCUCCUUCUCCCGCUCCUCUGCCUUACCAGUCCCUGUCCUUGGGGGCUCAGGGCAGAGGUCACCCUCCUGGGGGAAACAGUCCCCCCAGUCCUGCCCAGGUGGGCUCACCUCUGCUCCUCCCCGGGAGCUGCCAGCAGACAGCCCGGGAGCCCUGGGAAGUCAGGUCAAAUGCAGACGAUGCAUGAGCAAGAGCCAAGGGGAGGCGGGGUGUCCACCAGGGAGGUGAUUAGCUCCACGGCGCCUCUAAUAAUAAUCUGCGAGGCUAACAAACAGCACGGAGGAGGAGGAGGCGGCGGCGAGGGCAGGCUAUGUGCUGGCUGUCUCUGUCCUUGUUAAGGUUAGACGAGGAGGGAGCCCUUGUUAAUUGCAGACUUAUCCUGAUUACUACCAGCUCUCUGCCGGCAGCCACAGGAGCCAAAGCCAAGGCUUCGUGAGGAGACCGGGAGCAGCUGAAGACCAGUGGGGCAGGGUUUCCUCUGGGCCCUCGGGACCCAAACUUGUGCAAAAACCCUGGCUUCACAAAUUCAAUUCGUUUGUUGGUCCAUAUGGACUGGCUGCUGUGUGUUCUAUAGAACAUUCCAAGCAGAGCUGGAUGUCGAUUUUGGAAGGAUAUGAGAUGAGCGGACAAAGGUGGCUCUCCAUCUAUCCUGUCGGAAGACUCCCUUCCAGGACACACACAUACACACGGAUGCACACUAGCACUCAUGCACAUACGCUCUCACACUCACACACACUUGGCUCUGAGCCCUCCCAUGUUACAGACUCCAUAAAUAUCCUUGAAUUUGUACCUACAGGGAGAGGACGGUGCUGACCUUGCUCUGGCUUCCCCAGAUCCUUUGCUGCUCAAGCCUGUAGCUGACUAGGGAGGAGAGCACAGGGUGGGGGGAGGGAGGACUUCCCUCAGCUAGGAGGUCCGUAAAGCCUCUGGGAGCCCGCUGGUCCGCCGUGAGAGGCAGCAGCAAAGGCAAAAGAAUGGCCAGGCUGGGAGCCACAGGGGCUGGGAGAGCAUGGACAGGCCACCAAACCCAGCCUUAAUGCAAAUUUAGGGUUAGAUCCUAGCUUGAGCAAGAGCUCUGGUUAGCCUCAUACAGAACACGGCUGGCCCAAGCCCCGAGGACAGGAGCCUGUCAGACGGAACGGGGCGGAGGGCAGCGGGGUGAGGCGCAGGCCACGGGGCUGGCCGGGCGUUAGUAUAGGCAAAUUGGAAAAAUGCAGUUCUCCGAGGCUGUCCUCUGACACAGAAUGAGUGACUCUUACCCCAGUGGAUUAUAACUUAAAGACCUCAAAAGGGCUCCUAGAAAUAAGAAGGGUAGAAUUUUCUCCCUGCUGGGUGGAGGUUUGUCUUAUGCAGAAAUCACUUCAUCUCACUGCCUCUUGGAUCUGGCCAAGAGGGACAAUAUGACCCUGGGGGUUCUGAGCUGCCCCGUCUUCUGCAACUGCUUAGAAUGUCCCUUAAUCCCCCGCCUCCCUGGGCAGCCCCCCCCUCUCUGCAGACCUGCCUACUGCCUGCAGUGGCCCAGAACCCGCCUCUUCUCUCGGCUUCCAAACCUGACAUGGUCUCCAGGAUUGGCUCUGUGGUAGCAGGAUCAAUAACCGUUCUAUUAAAUAAUAAUGAUAAUGAAUGAAUGACAAUUUAUUAGGUUCUUCAUAUGUGAUAGGUCCCUGAGCUAAGUGCUUUAAAAUGCGUUUUUUUCGUGUAAUCCUUCUAACUAUCUGAUGAAGGAUGAUUUAAUGUAUUUAUGGGGCUUGGGGAGACAACCUGUCCAAGGUCUGGAGUGAUGUGGGGAGCAGGGAAGAAUCACUUUGGGCUUCUCCUCCUGGAGUCACAAGGGCUUAGGGACCCUGCCCGCAGGGGUCAUCCUCCCUACCCUUCCAGUCCCGCCUCUGGCCUGUGAUGGCCAGAGCCUGGUUUCUUGGUCUUGGUGCAAAGUACGUCCCCUCAAUGGAUAACCAAAGACCCACCACCAGUGAUCAUGUGUGGUUUUUGUCUGUUUCUUGUGAAACUAAUGAAUAUAGAUUUUAGAGGACGUCACUUUAAUCCCUCAACCCUCCUUGUUUUUGGGGGGAAAGAAGAUCUCAGAAAGUAUCUUCUGCAAGGAUUUGAAAACAGGGCUUUUUUUUUUUUUCUUUUUCUGCAAUUGGGCCCCUAGGCAGGAGCCUCUCUGAAGAGUCCCUCUCCAGGAUCCAUGCCCCAUUCCCUGGGAUCUGAGUUUCUUUAAUACUUUUAUUAUUAUUUCCCAGCUUCUCUGUUCUGUGGCCCUGCUCCAAGAUCAUGAGUCAUCAUCAGCUGAGAGUAGAUGAGGCUAGGGAGGGGAGGCGGGCGGGCCUCUCCCCUGCAGCGCCCUCCCUUCCCCGCAGCACUGAUUUUUCUGCUCCGUUUGACAACUGGGGUUAUUGCUUAUUGGACACUUGGUGCUGUUCUGAUGCCUUAUUGCUACCGAUUCGUUUCAUCUGGAAGGUGUGCCUUGUGCCCAUUUUGCUGAUGAGAAAAUAGAGACACAGCAGGAUCAGUCAUUUGUCCAGGGGCACAGCAUGGACAUGUUGGAGAGAGGGCACGGACCCCCACAACCUUGGGCACAGCUCAGACUCCUACUUCUUGCUACUGGAUGCUGGGGAUGGUUAUAAGUAAUUUUUUUUUUUUUUAAUUGGCAAGCUGGCCUAGGAAACUUUCUACUCUGAAUAGCACUGCUGUCCAUGCCAAGUUCUAAGGCACUGACGUACUAAUGAGUAGCGCUGUGGCCUGCUCUUUUGUGUCCCCCUCAGAAUUGGAACAAAAGACACGCUCCAUGGGUGUUGGGUGGGUGGCGGAUUGAUUGAAUUUCGUACCUGCGGGAAGCUCCACUGGCUUCCACAGCUGCCGAGGUCAGAAAAAGGAAGGAGGGGAGGAGGCGUGGUGGUCCGUGUGAAUGCGUCCCCCAGUGGGCAGGGCAGCCCUGGAGUGCCAACCAUGCCUGUUCCUUGGGUAGAUUUUCGAGGCAGACACUGUGUGUGGCACAAGGUGCUCCUUCCCCUCUUUCCUGGUGGACCCUAAGAAGCCGGCCGCCCUGUGAGGGGAAUCGGCCUUUACUGAAGGAGGGUAAACCUCGGGACAAGGUGCACUUGCCUUUCUCGCACUGCUGUGGAUUGGAACCCCAUGGAUCUCCUGGGCCCAGAGACAGACAGCAGGAAAGCAGAGGAAGCUUGACAGCUGCCCCCAGCCAUGGGAGGGAGGCCAGGCCCUGUGCAGAGACUUACGGGUUGGUUCUACAGGCAUCUGUGUUCUGCCCCGGGCUCGGGGCACCCUCCCCUGCUGCUACCUGCCCAGGUACACCCCCCCCCCCCCCCCCCCCCCGCCAGCUAGACCCCCGCUGCGGGGCAGCUGGGCGCUGAGGAGACCAGGGGCAGAGCCCGGAGGAGGGGGAAGAAGAUGUAACAUACUGAGCCAAGCACACUCAGGGAAAUAAAAGAUCUAUUUUUUUUUCCGUUUGUUCUCAGCAAACAUUUGUCAUUUAAUUUCUUCCUAAUUACACAAUUACGUAAUUAUGUAGUAUUAGUAAAAUAAAGCCUAAAGACGUUUGAGUAAAGAAUUACUUAAGUAAAUAAUGUCUGACUGAAGUAAUUAUUUCCCGGGUUUUCUUUUUUAAAGUAGAAUUGGAUGGAAUGGGUUCAGGCAUUGUUGUGGAACCAAGCGGGGGUGGGGACCGCACAGCCAGGGGUGGCGCCUGGCUCUGCUUACCCCCCUGGGCUUUAGUGCUUAGUACCCUGGCACCUUCCUCUCUUUGUAGAGGGGGCUCUGAUAGCAAAUCCCGACUCAGCGAUGGCUUGGGAACUGGCCUCUGCUUUGAGCCUCACUGCGCCGGUCAGAAGGACCAGAUGAGGACCAAGCUCUGAGCCGAAUCUUCCCUUAGGACAGUAGAACCAAGAUAUUCCCCCUUGGAGCUAUUUCUGAGUUUCCCGAGGCCUCGUGGUUCCUGCGGAAUUCCCGCGAAGCUGAGGUACACGUCUAGGAUCCUCAGAGGCAGUUGGUGCCCCUCCGCCUGCUCCAGGUCUCUGAAGGCUCAGACACCAGCUUGAAAACGAAGCAGGUCAAGACGACUUGGUCUUCUCCCUGGGGCCGUGGCUUUGUGCCUUCAAUAGGCGGUCCACCCAGACCAGCAUCAUGUGAAGAGAACACCACAGAAGCUUCUGGAAAGUGACUGGAGCCAUGGGGACUAUAUUGGGAAGGAAUGCUGACACAGUCCUCCAAAGGCCAGUUAAAAAGAUCAGUUUUUCUUGGGUGGUUUGUCUGUUCCCUGAGCAGCAAAAGUUUGGCAACAUUUAGUAAAAUUGAAGAUACAUUUCCCUACAAUCCGGCAACUCUACUUUAGACAUAUGUUCUGGAGAAACUCAUAUAAGUGCAGAAAGAGAUAUACACCAGAGGAACCACGGCAGCAUUGUUUAUAAUAGCAAAAAAAAAAAAAAAAAAAAAAAAACCACAAAGAAACAAAAAACCCCACAAAAAACAAAACAAAACAAAAAAAACAAGAGGAAACCACCUAAAUUUCCACCCACAGGAAAAUGAGUACAUUGUAGAAUAUUCAUCCAAUGGAAUUCUUUCCAGUAAUAAAAGUAAAGGAAGUGGAGCUACAUGUAUCAAUGUGGAUGAUCCCAUAAAACACUAUGGAGCUAAAAAAGCAAGUUGCAAAAGAAUAUAUAUGCUGUGAUACCACUUAGACAAGCUGUAAACUAUGCAAAAACCACACUAUGUACUGUUGAUGAAUAAUACAUAGGAAUAUAAACACCAGAUUCAAGAUGGUCAAAUUCAAGAGAGGGGGAAUACAGGGUAGGAAGGAGGCUUUCGAGGGAGGGGAUGCUAUGGUACGGAGGUAUCCAACUUUGCUGAUCAUGUUUUAUGUAUUAGGCGAGGUGGUAGGUACAAGGGUAUGUAUUAUACACUCUUCUUUAAAAUUUUUGAAUGCUUAAAAUAUUUUAAGAAAUGUUUUACUACAGAAUCAAAAUGUGCAAAUCCACCCAACAACCAGAGAUCCUAUGGGCUUUCCCCCAGAAGUGCCAGAAUGUGGUGCGUAUGUGUCUGAGAUGGCAGAGGUGGGGGUGACGGUGGGGGUAAGGGGUGGUAGAGAAGACCUCAACUAGAACAGGCCACAGCUGGCUCCUGGGUAGUUUUCUGGGUUGAAUACUCAUUCACUGAAGUUCUCCUCUUCCCACAAUAUUUGCCUAUGUAACAAGCUAAAUAUUCAUUGAGUAAUUAACCAGUUCAAAUUUGUGGUAUGAAAAGACAAUUCCUUCUAAUUAUAGGGAUGUCAGUUAAAAGAUGCCACACUAGGAUACCAUUCACUGCCAAGAGAGCCUUUAUAAAAUUCUUGCUGUGAUUUAGAUUCAAAAAGGUAAAAAAAAAAAAAAAAA
This is a long non-coding RNA of Mustela erminea (ermine), 6334 nucleotides long. RefSeq lists it as uncharacterized. The transcript is spliced from 2 exons. Lineage: Eukaryota; Metazoa; Chordata; Mammalia; Carnivora; Mustelidae. The record is from RefSeq and is a predicted model, not a curated record.